AGGCGAAAGAAGGUCGUGUAUCCCGGGAAUCAGAAGGAAAUCCAAAGACUGAUGGCAAACCGGAAGUGACGUCAUAGGAACUGGAGUUGGGGCAGAGGCAGAAGCCACACUGGGCAGGCUCUCCAUUCUCUCUGCCUGCCCUCUCUUCUCCCGUGAGGUAAGAGAAGAGAGAUUCUUGGAUUAAGACUGGAGGACAAACCACCUCUAGUUACAUAAUGGCCUUUCCACCUGUCACUGAAAAUGGUGGUCACCAACCCCACCCACCCCCAGCCUGCCUCCACUACAGAAGCCUCUACGUGGUGACUGCCGUACCCCCUUUUCCUUAAAUGAUGUCACUAAUUUAUUAGA
This is a non-coding RNA of Rattus norvegicus (Norway rat), 348 nucleotides long. NCBI's taxonomy places the organism in Eukaryota, Metazoa, Chordata, Mammalia, Rodentia, Muridae. The record is from RefSeq and is a predicted model, not a curated record.